CCUCGGUGAACAUUCAACGCUGUCGGUGAGUUUGGUAUGAAUCACAUAAAAACCAUCGACCGUUGACUGUGCCCCGCGG
Molecule: non-coding RNA, 79 nt
Organism: Salmo salar (Atlantic salmon)
Lineage: Eukaryota; Metazoa; Chordata; Actinopteri; Salmoniformes; Salmonidae
Source: Rfam